This 807-nucleotide ribosomal RNA is filed under the name Bacillus anthracis (anthrax bacterium). RNAcentral's name for it is "bacterial SSU rRNA". It matches the Rfam family "Bacterial small subunit ribosomal RNA", at positions 54 to 839 of the family's 1533-position model. Lineage: Bacteria; Bacillati; Bacillota; Bacilli; Caryophanales; Bacillaceae. The record is from RNAcentral.
CCAAUGCAAGUCGAGCGAAUGGAUUAAGAGCUUGCUCUUAUGAAGUUAGCGGCGGACGGGUGAGUAACACGUGGGUAACCUGCCCAUAAGACUGGGAUAACUCCGGGAAACCGGGGCUAAUACCGGAUAACAUUUUGAACCGCAUGGUUCGAAAUUGAAAGGCGGCUUCGGCUGUCACUUAUGGAUGGACCCGCGUCGCAUUAGCUAGUUGGUGAGGUAACGGCUCACCAAGGCAACGAUGCGUAGCCGACCUGAGAGGGUGAUCGGCCACACUGGGACUGAGACACGGCCCAGACUCCUACGGGAGGCAGCAGUAGGGAAUCUUCCGCAAUGGACGAAAGUCUGACGGAGCAACGCCGCGUGAGUGAUGAAGGCUUUCGGGUCGUAAAACUCUGUUGUUAGGGAAGAACAAGUGCUAGUUGAAUAAGCUGGCACCUUGACGGUACCUAACCAGAAAGCCACGGCUAACUACGUGCCAGCAGCCGCGGUAAUACGUAGGUGGCAAGCGUUAUCCGGAAUUAUUGGGCGUAAAGCGCGCGCAGGUGGUUUCUUAAGUCUGAUGUGAAAGCCCACGGCUCAACCGUGGAGGGUCAUUGGAAACUGGGAGACUUGAGUGCAGAAGAGGAAAGUGGAAUUCCAUGUGUAGCGGUGAAAUGCGUAGAGAUAUGGAGGAACACCAGUGGCGAAAGCGACAUUCUGGUCUGUAACUGACACUGAGGCGCGAAAGCGUGGGGAGCAAACACGAUUAGAUACCCUGGUAGUCCACGCCCUAGACAUGAGAGCUAAGUGUUAUAGGGUUGUCCGCCU